Molecule: ribosomal RNA, 251 nt
Filed under: uncultured bacterium
Lineage: Bacteria
Description: partial 16S ribosomal RNA
Rfam family: Bacterial small subunit ribosomal RNA
Source: RNAcentral
GACGAAGGGGGCUAGCGUUGCUCGGAAUUACUGGGCGUAAAGCGCGUGUAGGCGGCUGUUCAAGUUGGGCGUGAAAGCCUUGGGCUUAACCCAAGAAAUGCGCUCAAUACUGGAUAGCUAGAGGACCGGAGAGGAUAGUGGAAUUCCAGUGUAGUGGUGAAAUACGUAGAGAUUGGGAAGAACACCAGUGGCGAAGGCGGCUAUCUGGACGGACACUGACGCUGAGACGCGAAAGCGUGGGAGCAAACAGG